UUCAAGACCUCAAUGUGGAUAGUGAGGUUUACAAUAAUAUAAAUGUCAGUUACUGACUAACAUCGUUAAUCAAUUAGAUCACGGACAUGGCAUAUGAAUUUGAGGCAGUUUACAAAGGAUCAGACACAACCCAUGACUAUCCUUGUGGAAUUUGUGAUGAGAAUAGGAUAAACAAUGAGGCUGAUUUCUACUGUGAAAAAAGUUUUUCUGUAACUAUUGUUUGAAUCACCAUAAUAACAUGUACAAAAAACACAUCUUGUUUGGAAGAGAAAACUCUACAAAGUGGCCGACUACCAAGAGAACAGACUAUGCAUUAAAGAAAUGUCAAUAUCACAAGAGUGAGACAUUGCAGCUGUUAUAUGAAGACCAUGAUCAGUUGCUGUGCACAGUUUGCCACGUGUACAGCCAUCAGCAAGUAAUUAAUGUACAGCAAUGUCUAUCUUCUUUAUUCAGCAAGAUUCCACUUCAAACUCUUACAAGUGUUGAUGAACAAUGCCGCCAUGUGAAACUGAUAUCUGAUACUGUGCCAUCACUCAAACAUAAAGCAGAUGUUGAGAAGUUGACAGCAAAACUUGACACUUUACAUGGGGAGUUGGCACACAAGAAGCAAGACGUAGUGGAAAGUAUACAGUCACUCGAGAAAUCCUACAAGAAAAUUUGGGCAAAAAAGCGCAAAUUAAAAGAGGAAAUCAAUGAAUAUUUUGAUACACUGGAAAGUAAUACUGUCACAGAGUUAGACGCUUUACUUUCGGCUGAAGGACAUCUUUUCAGGAUGAUAUCCUGGUCUGUAAACAGGUUAUUGAGGACAUGAAUGAUACACACCAUAAUAUGCAACGAAUAACCAGCAAGAGCGAUACCUUACAAUAAGUCACGUGCAAAGAUUGCCACAAGUAUUUGUUAAAGGCAAAAUCAAUUCUACAAGGAAUGCCUGCAAAGAAGGAGGUUGAAAUAGAGUUACAACCUGAUGCUCGUUUCACAGAGACUCUAUCCACUCUUCUAGGAUUAGGAAAAGUAUGCCAAGUAAGUAAAUCAUCAACUGAGACUAGCUUAAAAACUCACUCAGAAGUAUAUUUCCCAGUAAACUGCUCAUCUCAAUACGCUGCCAUUGAAAUCCUAAGUGAUGUGAACAACACACAAUCAAUUUCAAUCAGCCAGUCUACCGACGAUAACAAAACAAGUGAUGUAAACAGGCCAAAACUGGUGCUUAAUCCAGAAUCCAGUUCUACCAGUCACCUUAACCAUGGAAGCAAAACAUGUGAUGUUACCAAGCCAAAACUGGUGUUUAACCCAGAAUCAAGUUCUACUCGUAACAUUGACCAUCACAGCAAAACAAGUGAUGUGACCAAGCCAAAACUGGUGUUCAAUCCAGAAUCAAGUUCUACCCGUCACCUUGACCAUGAUAGCAGAACAAGUGAUGUUACCAAACCAAAAAUGGUGUCCAAUCAAGAACUACGUUCUUUCUGUUACCUAGACCAUGAUAGCAGAACAAGUGAUGUGACCGAGCAAAAACUGGAACUCAUAUCUGCAUCAAGUUUAACUAGUCAGCUUGACCGUUCAAGCCUUACAAGUGAUGUGAACAAGCCAACCGUACAGUCUGAUCAAAACUACAUCACGCUUGAGGGACUAACAACAGAGUAUUCAGUUACAAUGAAAAAUGAUUUAUACCUAUCCAUUAUAACAGGAAUCUGCGAGACAGCUUCCGGGUAAUUCCGGACAAGAAGGUAAAGCUGCUGGAUUAGUGCUACAGCGUGGUGGCCCACUGCGAAUUGCCUGAUAGGCCAUUAUCCAUAUGCACAAUUGACUUCAGGCUGGCGGCUGUUGCUGUGAAUGCUUCAAGCAAGUCCAUUACGAAAAAUACACAGUCAUGGCAUGUGCAGUCAGUCCAAAUGGAGACAGGAUAUAUUUGACAAAUGAGCACAGUAACCAGCUGAUCACACUGUCCACUAUCCACUGCACAGUGAUCUCCAAACUGGAUUUAAAUGUGCUGAAGACGAGUUCUGAAUUAGCCCAACCUGCCCAUCAUGGCCUCCAUGUAACAGACAUGGGGAACGUCCCGAUGUGUGGGAGCGUGUCUCCGAAUUCAAUUGUCCAGGUGGACAAACAUGGGAUAGAGGUACUGGCAACUGUUCUGACUGAAGAAGAUGGAGUCAAAAGUCCGACAUCUGUCUACUACAGUCAACAAACUGGCUCACUGAUUGUGGAAAUGUGAAACAAGGGCAGCAUUCAUGUGUUUAACAUGAAGUAUUUAAAUAUUUGAAAUGGCAAUUUAUUCUACAAUAUUUAAAUGGCAUAAAACUUGAUCUAAAAUGUCAAACAUAUUUUUACAUUUUUGUAAGUCAAACUAUAUGAUUUCACCUGUACCACAACCACUGCAAACUGUAGAGCUUGUACAUUAAGCAUUUACCGUGUUUUUCAACAAUAGACACAACUGUGAUUAUAUCUAAAUUGUCAAUUUUUCAUAUCUUAAGUAUGAUAUAUAGGGAAACACAUACAUGGUGAGCACAAAUAUACAUGAUCAUGAAAAGAAAUCAUAUACUUUUCUUACGUUAGGGAUAGCUAGUCUCAUAAUUAAAGCGAAUAGUGUAUUUGUCUAUGUGAUUAAUUGCCUUUGCAUUAUAUGUGUUCUUUAGCAGUUUGUUUACCUUUGACUUAUGUCUAAUGGUGUCUAUGGUUGCACUGGCACAAUGUGGGUUUAAUAAUUAGGAACAUGUACGGUCCUCAGCUAGGGAUGGCUCUAGGAUAGGAUGGAACAGCAGCACUGAAAUCACAAAAAUCUUGUAUGGAUGUAUAGGUUGCUGAAAAUAUUGGUGUUGAAUGCCCAUCAUGAUAUGUAUCAGUAGGCUUUUGUAUGUAUUAUGUAGAGAAUAUUUGAUGGUUUCAGUAUAUUAUCAAAUUAAAUUGAUGAGCGAUCAGAGAAUAAAUAUUUUCAUACGUGGCGCAGCCACAAGGUAAAAUAUGUACAUGUAUUUUUUAUGAUGACUAGUAAAUAAAAAUCGACAUUCUACACACACACACACACACACACACACAAAACUAAUUUCCUUUUUUUUAAAUUAAUGCUUCUGAAAUGUUUAUUUACAUUUAAAAAGGAAUUAUCUGGAAAUGUUCGAUGGAAUAAUGACGUUAUGACGUCAAAAUAACAACAUCAUUUCACAGUAAACAGUUAAAUUUAUUGAAAACAUUCACUGUUAUAUUUCACUGUUUGCAAAUCACUGAGAUUUGCCUAUAAACCAGAGAAAACCAUUAAAUAUGUUUCGUGUGUACAUGAUUGCUAGAUUGCUUUAAAUUUAGGUUAAUGUAUUGCAGUUUAUAACACAUAAAUAUGCUUUUGUAAAAAUGUGUAUCAAUAUAGAGCGUGAAUUGUCUUUGUUAAAUCGUAUUAAAGAGAUAUGCAUAAAGAUUUCCGUUACUUUUGAGCAUUCUUUGCUCAUGUUUUGCAACCAUGUAUCUUUAUUCUGAAGAUGUGCUCAAUGAUUAAAAUGCGUGCACUGGAAUCAAAACACAUUCUUGCAAUAAUGGAGAACAUUGAAUGCUGUAAAUAUUGGCGGACAUGUCCAAAAGAUAUAUUACAGUGUAACCGAAGCAAGACGAUGAGAUUGUAUUUUAUCUAGCUGAAAAAACAUCUAUUCAUGAUUUUGUUUUUCAUUUAGUUUUUGGAGAACAAAAGUCGCAUUCCGUAUCACAUAUAAAUAUCUGAACGGUACUACAAUCGGUAGUUUGUAUCAGACGUGUUUUUCCAAAUAUGUUAAGUUCCGGAUUGCAACUAUUGUUGAGAGAUUUUUUAAACUUAAACAUUAUUAGUUGAUCAAUUUCAUGAACUCACUAAAAUUGU
RNA transcript from Dreissena polymorpha, 3832 nucleotides. RefSeq lists it as uncharacterized. The record is from RefSeq and is a predicted model, not a curated record. NCBI's taxonomy places the organism in Eukaryota, Metazoa, Mollusca, Bivalvia, Myida, Dreissenidae. The transcript is spliced from 3 exons.